Molecule: ribosomal RNA, 635 nt
Filed under: uncultured Lachnospiraceae bacterium
Lineage: Bacteria; Bacillati; Bacillota; Clostridia; Lachnospirales; Lachnospiraceae
Description: bacterial SSU rRNA
Rfam family: Bacterial small subunit ribosomal RNA
Source: RNAcentral
AAAUAUUUCAUUGAGACUUCGGUGGAUCUGAUCUAUUUCUAGUGGCGGACGGGUGAGUAACGCGUGGGUAACCUGCCUUAUACAGGGGGAUAACAGUCAGAAAUGGCUGCUAAUACCGCAUAAGCGCACAGAGCUGCAUGGCUCAGUGUGAAAAACUCCGGUGGUAUAAGAUGGACCCGCGUUGGAUUAGCUAGUUGGUGGGGUAACGGCCCACCAAGGCGACGAUCCAUAGCCGGCCUGAGAGGGUGAACGGCCACAUUGGGACUGAGACACGGCCCAGACUCCUACGGGAGGCAGCAGUGGGGAAUAUUGCACAAUGGGGGAAACCCUGAUGCAGCGACGCCGCGUGAAGGAAGAAGUAUCUCGGUAUGUAAACUUCUAUCAGCAGGGAAGAUAGUGACGGUACCUGACUAAGAAGCCCCGGCUAACUACGUGCCAGCAGCCGCGGUAAUACGUAGGGGGCAAGCGUUAUCCGGAUUUACUGGGUGUAAAGGGAGCGUAGACGGUGUGGCAAGUCUGAUGUGAAAGGCAUGGGCUCAACCUGUGGACUGCAUUGGAAACUGUCAUACUUGAGUGCCGGAGGGGUAAGCGGAAUUCCUAGUGUAGCGGUGAAAUGCGUAGAUAUUAGGAGGAAC